AUAUAUGUUAAGUGGAAAAGGAUGUGGCGUUGCCCAGACAACUAGGAUGUUGGCUUAGAAGCAGCCAUCAUUUAAAGAGUGCGUAAUAGCUCACUAGUCGAGUGACACUGCGCCGAAAAUGUACCGGGGCUAAACAUAUUACCGAAGCUGUGGAUUGUCCUUUGGACAAUGGUAGGAGAGCGUUCUAAGGGCGUUGAAGCAUGAUCGUAAGGACAUGUGGAGCGCUUAGAAGUGAGAAUGCCGGUGUGAGUAGCGAAAGACGGGUGAGAAUCCCGUCCACCGAUUGACUAAGGUUUCCAGAGGAAGGCUCGUCCGCUCUGGGUUAGUCGGGUCCUAAGCUGAGGCCGACAGGCGUAGGCGAUGGAUAACAGGUUGAUAUUCCUGUACCACCUAUA
This 395-nucleotide ribosomal RNA is filed under the name Staphylococcus aureus. RNAcentral's name for it is "partial 23S ribosomal RNA". It matches the Rfam family "Bacterial large subunit ribosomal RNA", at positions 1052 to 1452 of the family's 2925-position model. Lineage: Bacteria; Bacillati; Bacillota; Bacilli; Caryophanales; Staphylococcaceae. The record is from RNAcentral.